AGGGAGGCGUAGGCGGCUGAUUAAGUCAGCGGUGAAAGGUAGCAGCUUAACUGUUUUACAUGCCGUUGAUACUGGUUAGCUUGAGUUGACAGAAGGCAGAUAGAAUUCCUGGUGUAGCGGUGAAAUGCUUAGAUACCAGGAGGAAUACCGAUUGCGAAGGCAGUCUGCUGCAGUCACACUGACGCUGAGGCUCGAAGGUGCGGGGAUCAAACAGGAUUAGAUACCCCAGU
RNAcentral lists this ribosomal RNA (230 nucleotides) under uncultured bacterium. Its description in RNAcentral is "partial 16S ribosomal RNA". It matches the Rfam family "Bacterial small subunit ribosomal RNA", at positions 564 to 791 of the family's 1533-position model. The record is from RNAcentral.